RNAcentral lists this ribosomal RNA (305 nucleotides) under uncultured bacterium. Its description in RNAcentral is "bacterial SSU rRNA". It matches the Rfam family "Bacterial small subunit ribosomal RNA", at positions 332 to 655 of the family's 1533-position model. The record is from RNAcentral.
UUGACCCUACGGGAGGCAGCAGUGGGGAAUAUUGCACAAUGGGGGAAACCCUGAUGCAGCGACGCCGCGUGAGUGAAGAAGUAUUUCGGUAUGUAAAGCUCUAUCAGCAGGGAAGAUAAUGACGGUACCUGACUAAGAAGCCCCGGCUAACUACGUGCCAGCAGCCGCGGUAAUACGUAGGGGGCAAGCGUUAUCCGGAUUUACUGGGUGUAAAGGGAGCGUAGACGGCAAUACAAGUCGGAAGUGAAAUACCCGGGCUCAACCUGGGAACUGCUUUGGAAACUGUAUGGCUAGAGUGCUGGAGA